AUUGAACGCUGGCGGCAGGCCUAACACAUGCAAGUCGAACGAGUGGCGGACGGGUGAGUAAUGUCUGGGAAACUGCCUGAGGGAUGGGGAUCACUCCUGGAAACGGUAUCUAAUACCGCAUACCAUCAGAUGUGCCCAGAUGGGUUUAGCUAGUAGGUGGGGUAUUGGCUCACCUAGGCGACGAUCCCUAGCUGGUCUGAGAGGAUGACCAGCCAGACUGGAACUGAGACACGGUCCAGACGCCUACGGGAGGCAGCAGUGGGGAAUAUUGCACAAUGGGCGCAAGCCUGAUGCAGCCAUGCCGCGUGUGUGAAGAAGGCCUUCGGGUUGUAAAGCACUUUCAGCGGGGAGGCGUUACCCGCAGAAGAAGCACCGGCUAACUCCGUGCCAGCAGCCGCGGUAAUAC
This 406-nucleotide ribosomal RNA is filed under the name uncultured bacterium. RNAcentral's name for it is "partial 16S ribosomal RNA". It matches the Rfam family "Bacterial small subunit ribosomal RNA", at positions 30 to 526 of the family's 1533-position model. The record is from RNAcentral.